GAGAAUUUGAUAUUAUAGGCUCCCUUCUCGUAAUGUAGAUUAGAUUAAGUCUCUUUGUGAAAGUAGAAGGCUCGGCAUAGUUUUUUAAGGGUUUGAAUAUUCCUCUUUGGGGCAAUCUAAAAAGCUCAGCAGCUAAGAGCAAACACAAUUGAAGCAAAUGAUCAGUAAGGCAGUACUGACUAGUUGCAGAAGUCAAAUCGUUGCGGAUUCAUGGAUUAGAUUGUCUCUUUGUGAAAGUAGAAGAAGGCUCGGUGUAGUUUUUAAGGGUUUAAAUGUUCCUUUUUGGGGCAAUCUAAAAAGCUCAGCAGCUAAGAACAUAACACAAUUGAAGCAAAUGAUCAGUAAGGCAUUACUGACUAGUUGCAAAAGGCAAAUUAAUUAGCAUUUUGGAAGGAAAUGGACCUAAUCAGAGCAGAACGGUGUAGAGAAUGACACCCUCAACCCCCCUCCCCCCACCGCUGACAGAUGUCCCAUGCCACCUCACCUUUCAUGAACAGCUAUGCUCGAGAAUCAACUGUGAUAUAGCGACGACAUUCCCCCCCACCACAUGACAUUUAUAUCAUAGGCACCUUUCAUGAACAGCUAUGCUCGAGAAUCAACUGUGAUAUAGCGACGACAUUCCCCCCCAAAAAAGGGGGGGGGGGGAGCAAAUCGUAUAGCGGAUUCAUGUUGUCAAAUCCAUUUAGGAGUUAGACAUGGUUGAUUUUGUUCCUUUUGAAGUUGUAACUUAGUGACAUUGACAUGACACACAAGGGGAAAAAAGAAAAACAAACAUUGUACUGUCUGACCAUGAAUAAAAUGUUCAUCCACAAUCUCUUUCUGCUAUCCAUAGAGUUGACCUG
RNAcentral lists this long non-coding RNA (842 nucleotides) under Nicotiana benthamiana. Its description in RNAcentral is "long non-coding RNA (NBEN_LNC020019)". The record is from RNAcentral. Lineage: Eukaryota; Viridiplantae; Streptophyta; Magnoliopsida; Solanales; Solanaceae.